GAGGGUAUAGCUCAGUGAUACAGCAUGGGCAUAGCAUGCACAAGGUCCUGGGUUCAAUCCUCAGUGCCUCCA
Molecule: transfer RNA, 72 nt
Organism: Camelus ferus (Wild Bactrian camel)
Lineage: Eukaryota; Metazoa; Chordata; Mammalia; Artiodactyla; Camelidae
Rfam family: tRNA
About the family: Transfer RNA (tRNA) molecules are approximately 80 nucleotides in length. Their secondary structure includes four short double-helical elements and three loops (D, anti-codon, and T loops).
Source: Rfam